CCUACGGGGGGCAGCAGUGAGGAAUAUUGGUCAAUGGACGAGAGUCUGAACCAGCCAAGUAGCGUGAAGGAUGACUGCCCUAUGGGUUGUAAACUUCUUUUAUAUGGGAAUAAAACGUUCCACGUGUGGGAUUUUGUAUGUACCAUAUGAAUAAGGAUCGGCUAACUCCGUGCCAGCAGCCGCGGUAAUACGGAGGAUCCGAGCGUUAUCCGGAUUUAUUGGGUUUAAAGGGAGCGUAGGUUGAUUGUUAAGUCAGUUGUGAAAGUUUGCGGCUCAACCGUAAAAUUGCAGUUGAAACUGGCAGUCUUGAGUACAGUAGAGGUGGGCGGAAUUCGUGGUGUAGCGGUGAAAUGCUUAGAUAUCACGAAGAACUCCGAUUGCGAAGGCAGUUCACUGGACUGCAACUGACACUGAGGCUCGAAAGUGUGGGUAUCAAACAGGAUUAGAUACCCUGGUAGUC
Molecule: ribosomal RNA, 460 nt
Filed under: uncultured bacterium
Lineage: Bacteria
Description: partial 16S ribosomal RNA
Rfam family: Bacterial small subunit ribosomal RNA
Source: RNAcentral